This 65-nucleotide transfer RNA is filed under the name Orcula dolium. RNAcentral's name for it is "tRNA-Trp". The record is from RNAcentral. Lineage: Eukaryota; Metazoa; Mollusca; Gastropoda; Stylommatophora; Orculidae.
AUAUUAAUAAGUUAAAAAAACUACUGAUCUUCAAAAUCAGAAAUAUGCCAUAUAAGUUUAAUAUG